Molecule: long non-coding RNA, 417 nt
Filed under: Salmo salar (Atlantic salmon)
Lineage: Eukaryota; Metazoa; Chordata; Actinopteri; Salmoniformes; Salmonidae
Description: lncRNA (ENSSSAG00000115700.1)
Source: RNAcentral
GCUGAGAUUAGGAGCACACUCUUAAAGGGAGAGAGAGAGAGAGAGAAAGGGGAGAGAGGAGAAAGAGAGAGCGAGAGAGAGAGGGGAGAAAGAGAGCGAGAGAGCAGGGUGAGAGAGAGAGAGAAGGGUGAGAGAGAGAGCAGGGUGAGAGAGAGAGCAGAGUGAGUGAGAGAAAGAGCAGGGUGAGUGAGAGCAGGGUGAGAGAGAGAGCAGAGUGAGAGAGCAGGGUGAGAGAGAGAGCAGAGUGAGAGAGGAGAGUGAGAGAGAGAGUGAGAGAGCAGAGUGAGAGAGUGAGAGAGAGAGCAGGGUGAGAGAGAGAGAGCAGGCAGGGUGAGAGAGAGCAGGAGCAGGGUGAGAGAGAGAGAGCAGGGUGAGAGAGAGAGCAGGGUGAGAGAGAGAGCAGGGUGAGAGCGAGAG